Molecule: ribosomal RNA, 1473 nt
Filed under: metagenome
Description: bacterial SSU rRNA
Rfam family: Bacterial small subunit ribosomal RNA
Source: RNAcentral
AGAGUUUGAUCCUGGCUCAGAACGAACGCUGGCGGUAUGCUUAACACAUGCAAGUCGCACGCGAAAGCUCCUUCGGGGGUGAUUAGAGUGGCGCACGGGUGAGUAACGCGUAGAUAACCUACCCCUUAACCUGGGAUAACCUUCCGAAAGGAGGGCUAAUACCGGAUAAUACUUGAAAACGAGUGUUUUUAAGUUAAAAGAUUUAUCAUUGAGGGAUGGGUCUGCGUACCAUUAGCUGGUUGGUGGGGUAAUGGCCUACCAAGGCGACGAUGGUUAGCGGGUUUGAGAGGAUGAUCCGCCACACUGGAACUGAGACACGGUCCAGACUCCUACGGGAGGCAGCAGUGGGGAAUUUUGCGCAAUGGGGGAAACCCUGACGCAGCAAUACCGCGUGAGUGAAGAAGGCCCUUGGGUCGUAAAGCUCUUUUAUUAGGGAAGAUAGUGACGGUACCUAAUGAAUAAGCACCGGCUAACUCCGUGCCAGCAGCCGCGGUAAUACGGAGGGUGCAAGCGUUGUUCGGAUUCACUGGGCGUAAAGGGUGCGUAGGCGGCAUUAUAAGUUAAGGGUGAAAUCCCGGGGCUCAACCCCGGAACUGCUCUUAAAACUGUAGAGCUAGAGAUAGUCAGAGGCGGGUAGAAUUCCUAGUGUAGAGGUGAAAUUCGUAGAUAUUAGGAGGAAUACCGGCGGCGAAGGCGGCCCGCUGGGGCUUAUCUGACGCUAAGGCACGAAAGCGUGGGGAGCAAACGGGAUUAGAUACCCCGGUAGUCCACGCCGUAAACGAUGAAUACCAGCUGUUUGAAAAAUCGACCUUUCAAGUAGCGCAGCUAACGCGAUGAGUAUUCCGCCUGGGAAGUACGGUCGCAAGACUAAAACUCAAAGGAAUUGACGGGGGCCCGCACAAGCGGUGGAGCAUGUGGUUUAAUUCGACGCAACGCGCAGAACCUUACCUGGGUUGACAUCUCCGGACCGCUAUAGAGAUAUAGUUUUCCCUUCGGGGACCGGAUGACAGGUGCUGCAUGGCUGUCGUCAGCUCGUGUCGUGAGAUGUUGGGUUAAGUCCCGCAACGAGCGCAACCCUUGCCCUUAGUUGCCAUCAGGUUAAGCUGGGAACUCUAAGGGGACUGCCGGUGUUAAGCCGGAGGAAGGUGGGGAUGACGUCAAGUCCUCAUGGCCUUUAUAUCCAGGGCUACACACGUGCUACAAUGGUAACUACAAUGAGCAGCCAGACCGCGAGGUUUAGCGAAUCUCAAAAAAGUUAUCUCAGUUCGGAUCGCAGUCUGCAACUCGACUGCGUGAAGUUGGAAUCGCUAGUAAUCGUAGAUCAGCGUGCUACGGUGAAUACGUUCCCGGGCCUUGUACACACCGCCCGUCACACCAUGGGAGUUGAUAUUGGCAGAAUACAUUGAGCUAACUUUUCGAAGGGGCAGGUGUAGAAGCUAGUGUCGAUGACUAGGGUGAAGUCGUAACAAGGUA